RNAcentral lists this ribosomal RNA (520 nucleotides) under uncultured Entrophospora. RNAcentral's name for it is "SSU rRNA". It matches the Rfam family "Eukaryotic small subunit ribosomal RNA", at positions 569 to 1082 of the family's 1831-position model. The record is from RNAcentral. Lineage: Eukaryota; Fungi; Glomeromycota; Glomeromycetes; Entrophosporales; Entrophosporaceae.
AGCAGCCGCGGUAAUUCCAGCUCCAAUAGCGUAUAUUAAAGUUGUUGCAGUUAAAAAGCUCGUAGUUGAAUUUCGGGAUUGACACAUCGGUCGUGCCUUAAGGGGUAUGAACUGGUGUAGUCAAUUUCUCACCUUCUGGAGAACCGCGAUGUCCUUAAUUGGGUGCCGCGAGGAACCAGGACCUUUACUUUGAAAAAAUUAGAGUGUUUAAAGCAGGCAUUUUUGCUUGAAUACAUUAGCAUGGAAUAAUAAAAUAGGACGGCAUGAUUCUAUUUUGUUGGUUUCUAGGAUCACCGUAAUGAUUAAUAGGGAUAGUUGGGGGCAUUAGUAUUCAAUUGUCAGAGGUGAAAUUCUUGGAUUUAUUGAAGACUAACUACUGCGAAAGCAUUUGCCAAGGAUGUUUUCAUUAAUCAAGAACGAAAGUUAGGGGAUCGAAGACGAUCAGAUACCGUCGUAGUCUUAACCAUAAACUAUGCCGACUGGGGAAUCAGACGAUGUUAAUUUUUUAAUGACUCGUUUG